RNAcentral lists this unclassified non-coding RNA (254 nucleotides) under uncultured bacterium. RNAcentral describes it as "contains 16S-23S intergenic spacer region". It matches the Rfam family "Bacterial small subunit ribosomal RNA", at positions 524 to 776 of the family's 1533-position model. The record is from RNAcentral.
GACAGAGGUGGCAAGCGUUGUUCGGAUUCAUUGGGUGUAAAGGGUGCGUAGGCGGUUUGGAAAGUCAGAUGUGAAAGCCCACAGCUCAACUGUGGAAAUGCAUUUGAAACUUCCAGACUAGAGUACGAGAGAGGUAAAGGGAAUUCCCGGUGUAAGGGUGAAAUCUGCAGAGAUCGGGAAGAACACCAGUAGCGAAGGCGCUUUACUGGCUCGUAACUGACGCUGAGUGCACGAAGGCGUGGGGAGCAAACGGG